UGGGGAAUAUUGGACAAUGGGCGAAAGCCUGAUCCAGCCAUGCCGCGUGUGUGAAGAAGGUCUUCGGAUUGUAAAGCACUUUAAGUUGGGAGGAAGGGCAUUAACCUAAUACGUUAGUGUUUUGACGUUACCGACAGAAUAAGCACCGGCUAACUCUGUGCCAGCAGCCGCGGUAAUACAGAGGGUGCAAGAGUUAAUCGGAAUUACUGGGCGUAAAGCGCGCGUAGGUGGUUUGUUAAGUUGGAUGUGAAUUCCCCGGGCUCAACCUGGGAACUGCAUUCAAAACUGACUGACUAGAGUAUGGUAGAGGGUGGUGGAAUUUCCUGUGUAGCGGUGAAAUGCGUAGAUAUAGGAAGGAACACCAGUGGCGAAGGCGACCACCUGGACUAAUACUGACACUGAGGUGCGAAAGCGUGGGGAGCAAACA
This 427-nucleotide ribosomal RNA is filed under the name uncultured bacterium. RNAcentral's name for it is "partial 16S ribosomal RNA". It matches the Rfam family "Bacterial small subunit ribosomal RNA", at positions 355 to 774 of the family's 1533-position model. The record is from RNAcentral.